AACGAACGCUGGCGGCAGGCUUAACACAUGCAAGUCGAACGGCUGUAGCAAUACAGCAGUGGCGCACGGGUGAGUAACACGUGGAUAUCUGCCUUUUGGUUCGGAAUAACCCUGGGAAACUAGGGCUAAUACCGGAUGGUUCCUACGGGAUAAAGAUUUAUCGCCAAAAGAUGAGUCCGCGUACGAUUAGCUAGUUGGUGAGGUAAUGGCUCACCAAGGCGACGAUCGUUAGCUGGUCUGAGAGGAUGAUCAGCCACACUGGGACUGAGACACGGCCCAGACUCCUACGGGAGGCAGCAGUGGGGAAUCUUAGACAAUGGGGGCAACCCUGAUCUAGCCAUGCCGCGUGAGUGAUGAAGGCCCUAGGGUUGUAAAGCUCUUUCAGCUGGGAAGAUAAUGACGGUACCAGCAGAAGAAGCCCCGGCUAACUCCGUGCCAGCCGCCGCAGUAAUAC
This 454-nucleotide ribosomal RNA is filed under the name uncultured bacterium. RNAcentral's name for it is "bacterial SSU rRNA". It matches the Rfam family "Bacterial small subunit ribosomal RNA", at positions 29 to 526 of the family's 1533-position model. The record is from RNAcentral.